Molecule: ribosomal RNA, 226 nt
Filed under: Rodentibacter pneumotropicus
Lineage: Bacteria; Pseudomonadati; Pseudomonadota; Gammaproteobacteria; Pasteurellales; Pasteurellaceae
Description: partial 16S ribosomal RNA
Rfam family: Bacterial small subunit ribosomal RNA
Source: RNAcentral
UUGAAUUGAAGAGUUUGAUCAUGGCUCAGAUUGAACGCUGGCGGCAGGCUUAACACAUGCAAGUCGAACGGUAACAGGAGAAAGCUUGCUUUCUUGCUGACGAGUGGCGGACGGGUGAGUAAUGCUUGGGAAUCUGGCUUAUGGAGGGGGAUAACUACUGGAAACGGUAGCUAAUACCGCGUAAAGUCUAAGGACUAAAGGGGGCGAAAGCUCUUGCCAUAAGAUG